UCAAUUUGACACCUGAAAUAUGGAAUUCUCCAUUAAGGAUAUAUGGAGAUUAAAUACACCACCCUGAAACAGGAAGGAAAUUUGCAUAAGAGUGCAUACAAAACCUGCACAUUUUGCAAAUACCAAUAAUCACAAAUUCAGAAAGGCUGCCGAUGUAAGCGACGAUUCAGAAUUCGGAAUUCAGAUUUAUAAAUUCUGAUUUCCAUUUUUUUAUAUGUAAUUCUAACCUUUGAGAAUCUAGAAAUUUGAAUUCCGGGAUCUUUCAUAUACAUCAAAUAUCUUGAUGUGAUUUAAAUCAAAUUUCUCAAUUAGAAACUUUUAUACACAGCAAAUAGCUGAUGCAAUUCUAAAUUCCAAAUUCUCAAUUCCGAAUCUAGAAUUCACUUAGAUAAGUCAGAAUUCAGGUAAACAAUUCAGAAUUCAAGUAAACAAUUCAGAAUUCCAUGAAGAAUAUAGGUAAAAAAAAUAUUCUUUGCUCAGACUCUCCCAGUUAUCAAAUAUUAUUACGUUGGAACAAAAGCCUACUUGGUUAGUAAUGUUAACUGCAUAAAAGACCCACAUGCAUACGGAAAGUAUCCGGAAUACAUAUAAAAGUGGCUGGUUGCCUAUAGAAUAGGUCGUCCAAAAUACCACCAUCGCUAACCAAGAAGGUACGGGCCUCUCUCAAUUAUUGCAACCAUUUGGUAUUCAAGGAGUAGGUCAUCAUAGCAUGGGAAUUCAUAAUUUAUCUAUGCAAUUUGGAAUUUCAUCAAGAAUAUAAGAGAAACAAAUAUGCUCUGUUUAGAAUUCAUAUUCAGUAUUUACAAAACCGAAUCUAGAGUACAGAAUGAAAAUCCAUGUAAACUGUUGCUUAUAAAAGUUUGCUGAUUCAGGAAUCAGAAUUCAUUCAGCUAGAUAAUCGAGAAUUCAGCUAGGCACUUUCAAAUUCCAUGAAGAAUUUAGGGAAAUUAAAUACACUGGUCUAGCUGAAUUAUAGAUUACCUAGUUGAAUUCAGGAACUGAAAUUCAAGCUUCAGAAUCCAGAUUUGUAUUCAGAGUUCACAGAAUCCGAUGAAGAAUAUAGAAAGAAUAAAUAUAUCUUGCCCACACUCUUGCGACCAUGAAACAUGACUACUUUGGCACUGCAAUUACUGUGCUUAUGAACUUGUUGGAAAGGAUUGUGGAUGAUAGAGGGAAAAACGUUAUUUAAUUUAGGGUUUCCCCACAGAACAAUUUCGAGAAUUCAGAAUUCAUAUUUAGAAUUCAAUGUCAACAAUUUAGGAUUCAAGAUGUGAAACCAUAUAAAAGGUUAAAGCCAACUGCAAACUAUAUUAGACAAAAAAGGAAAUUGGGAUCAUAAAAUUCUGAUGCAAUUGAAUUCGAGAGUACUGUUCAUGCAGUUCAAAACUCUGAGCCAUAAGUUUUUUUACACAUCAAAUACUAGUUGCCUAUAGAGAAGGCCAUCCAAAAUUUUCAAAGGGAAAGUCACAUAGCUUGGGAAUUAAGAAUUUAGCUAGGCAGUUCAGAAUUCCAUGAAGAAUAUAAAGAAAAUAAUAUACUUACCUCAGACUCCCGUAGUCAUCAAACAUCAUUAAGUUAGCACCGGAGCCUACUUGGUUACUACUACAAAUUGCAUAAAUGCGCAUCAACUCUUAGUGCGGCUGCCACCAUAAUGCGCGUCAAAAUUAUCUAAUGCUUUACCUGUGUCGACCUUGAUAAAAACUAACAGAGGAUUGAUGGCCUGUUAUGCAGCAAAACAAAUGACAGAGAAUAGACAAUAACAGAGAUAAGAGUACCAAAUAUAUC
RNAcentral lists this long non-coding RNA (1785 nucleotides) under Ananas comosus (pineapple). RNAcentral describes it as "long non-coding RNA (ACOM_LNC008970)". Lineage: Eukaryota; Viridiplantae; Streptophyta; Magnoliopsida; Poales; Bromeliaceae. The record is from RNAcentral.